ACAAACUGGGAAAACCAUUUCUACCUCGGAGCUGGUUUUGUUCACAGCUGCAUCGCUGUAGAUGAACAUAAACUAACUCACAGAGCUUUUUAAACAGCUGGUGAGCCGUUGCCAUGGCAACCCACAUUCCUUUACAUGAGAGUAAUCAGAGAGGGGGAGUCUGAGAAAAGAUGGAGGGAGGGAGCGAGGCAGAGGAGGCUUCCCAAGCUUCUGUUGGAAUGCUGUGCUCCCACUCCUCCUCGCUUGCUGUUUUAUGUUUACGCUGCAGGAUCUGCGUCAACAAACAGGUUUAAACCAAAGAGCUGGAACUUUUUAUUGAACUGUAGCAUUUGUUAAAAAGCUAAACUCAUUGUGGGCACGUGGUUUCUGCAUCCCCCUCCUCCCCCUCGCCGUCACUGCCCCCCCUCCCCUCCCCCCUCCUGUUGCCGAUGUGGCACACAAUACCUCCACAGAGAAUGAAUCGCUGGACCUCGGCUCGUUUACCUGCAGGAGUGAUUUUCUGUGCAGGUGUCGCUGCCACUGAGCAGCACGAGAGUGGAAAACGUACGAACGGCAGCGAUGCCUGGGAACUCUUAGCAGGAAAACUGGAGAACAAACGGUGUGGACGCUGAUAAAAGUAGAAAGAUUGAGUUUGGUUUAUUGCAGCCGGAUCGAUUUCAGACUGACUAAUCUGUGCUUUAACUCGGUUCUAUCUUCAUCACUGAAGCCAAAAGUCAAAUUCUUCUUAAACUAAAUGCUGCCGUGACGUUUAACCGUCUACAGACCAUUCUCGUGUCCAGUCACAGGUGAGUGUGAGCUCCUACCUUCUACCGCUUUGCAGAGCAGGGACAGCAGGAGAGAAGUCAGCCGUGAGCGGUGCCUGGGACGAUCUGAGCGCCUCCCUUCUCACAGAGGGCAUUUCCAGUGGGACCCCCCCCCCCCCACACACACCCUCCCAUCACCCGGCUCCUUCCUGCCUGGGUGGGGCUUCACAUUAACUCUCUGCUCACACUGACGCUGGCAGCCCAUGGGUCAAAACUAAGAACCUGCCGUUUGGGACAGAAGGGAACUUUUCUGCUGUGUUUUCAUAGAUGUUCAAUGAGCUGUUUAGUAAAGAACAUGAAUAAGGUUAAAAGAACCACUGUGGACUGAUGCUGUUCUAUUGUGAAUAGAAACUGGAAUCACCCUGUUCCUGAGUGAAUCUGAUCUCUGACUUUAUCUUCUUAAUAUGUGACAUUUACAGUAUUUCAUAUUUCAUAUGUUUUCCUGGAAAUGAGACAUUUUAGCACCAUCUGCAGUAAAAUGUUUUAAUAUUAUGGACAUGAGGUUUUAGCAGCGACCCAAACACGUUACUGGUUUGUGUUGGUGACGGUGGAGAAUGAAAACGAUCCCUCAGAUUAUCAGAGAAGAGGCUGAAUGAGGGUUUAUCUGCACAGCCUCACUGAACGCUGUUCAGACCAGAAACCUCCAGCUGAGCAGAGGCCUCCACUGGGCUGAGGUGCUACGACUCAAUGCUUAUUCCUGGAACCUGGCGGGAGUUGCUGCACUUUUCUAUAUAAUGACUGAAGCUGCGGUUUAGCCUCUGCAUCUGAAGCUCGUUCCAAUCUGCUGUGUUCACGUUCUCCUUUCUCCCUGGGGACGAGGAGCAAAGCCCAUGCUUCCUGGACGUCAUUCGGCCCAUUUCACGGCCAAACACCUGCCGGUCCCUCACAGAAUCGAGCUCUGCCGCUCAUCUGCCCGUUCUGUGGGUCGGCAGAUUGGAGGCGUCUAGCUCCCAAUGCGGAGCUGAUGUGAACAACAGCUGGAUGACAGAGGGAGGAGCAGGAAAAGCUGCGGUGCUACGUGGCGUUUUCCAUUCUGCCUGGAGGCCGCGGGAGCAGGGACGGGUGAGGAGACUCACCCUGUCCUCCUCCCACGUCACUGCUUCCCUCUCCCCUCUCUCCUUUUCCCUCACCCGCCCUCUCUCUCUCUCUCUGCACACGUGGCAGCUGCCCCUCUUUGUUCAUGUCUCUUACAGACAUGAUGACGUUACCAGUUGCAGUUCAUUGUUUUUGCUUUGUUUAAAGCGCUGCUACUUGAUGGACCACGUUUAAACCUGCUGAGAUGCAGCAUCACUGCUCACAGAGCAACUCCCUUAAAUCUGGUAAAGCCACACAGUCGCUGGUGCCACGUCAGACACCAGCGGGUAGCCUACGUAGAACUAGAAGCUCUAGAACAGACCACAGUCGUCUAAACACACACACACACACACACACACACGGGCUGUCGUUCCAGCUGAUGAGCCCCAUGAUUGGAUGCGGCAGCUGGUGGCUGUGAUGGUGGACGGAUGUUGAAUGAGCUCAUAGUUUUCUGCUGCAAUAAUGAAUGUUUGAACGUCUGUGCACGUGUGUGUGUUUCUACUUUGUGUUUAGCAUUUUUACAUUGACUAUUUGCUCUAUUUUAUCACAGCUUCUGUUUGACUCAGCUUUGCUUUAGUUCAAUCCACAGAUAUUUCUAUUGUUUGUUUUCAAUAUAAAUAACGAUAUGAACUUCUAGAACUUCAUACACUUAAAUUAAACUUAAGUCCUGGACGUUUUAAAACCAAAUAAAUAAACACAUUAUAAGUAUUUUCUCAUUCUCCUGUUUGGCAUCAUGUGCCACCAGCUUCAUGUCUUAUAUCAGAAAGGUAAAAACCUGAGUUAACGUCAGGAGGGAUCUGACACGUCACACGCUGGUUUUAAUCAUGAGCAGAUCUAGAUAAAAUAAACAGAGUCAAAUCAUCUGAAACUGUAAAACAGACAAACGAAGCAAAGUCAGUUCACACCAAGUGUCUGUGACUACGACUUUAUCUCAACUGAUGCACAUACAAGGUCACACAUCAUCAUAGAAUAGAAUGCCUUUAUUAGUCCCACAGCGGGGAAAUCAUCAAAAUCAUCACCGCCCUCACGGCUGCUCCUCAUUACUGCCCAUGACAUUUGCAUCCAUGCUUAAUAUUAUUUCUUUGUCCAUUGGUCUUCGUUUCCUGCCGCCUACAUGUGAGGCUUUAACCCUCAAAGGCAGUGAGAGGUGUGAGGAGGACGCAGAUGACUCUGAAUAUAAACAAAGGCCAACGCUCUGUCACUCUGGCCCUAAAAUGAUUACUGGUGUCCACAGAGGGACAGGCGGCCUUUUACUUUGAUCGAUGUUUAGCCCUCGGUCAGACUCGGCCUCCUCCUCCUCCUCCUUCUCUUCCUCCUCCUCCUCUUCAACCUCCUGCUCCUCUUCCUCCUCCUCCUCCUUCUCUUCCUCCUCCUCCUCCUCUUUCUCUUGCUCCUCUUCCUCCUCCUCUUCCUCCUUCUCCUCUUCCUCCUCUUCCUCCUCCUCUUCCUCCUUCUCCUCUUCCUCCUCUUCCUCCUGCUCCCCCUCGUCCUCCUCUUCCUCCUGCUCCUCCUCCUGCAGCCAGUCGACACACAACAGCAGUUAAAAGGAAACUAAGUUCUGCUUCUUUUUCUGCUCGUGUGAGUGUUUUUCAAGGUGUAAAUAAUAUGUUUAUUCACUGUGCACCAUCAAAACUUCACAGCAACCUCAAGACUGAAGCUAUAUUAGUAGAAGCCUCAAAUUAAACUUGUUGGUUUCCAAACCACUGCAUCAUUUACAUUCAGUGUUUUGCAUUUUUCAGCUCCUGGCAACUUUUAUAGUUUCCAUGUCCAGACGUCCAGAAAUUUAAACAUGAGGGUGAAGUGAAGUAAUUGCUUUGUCGAGGCUUCUCACCGGGUACAAACCAGUGGCUGGACUCAUCACAGGUGUGUCACAUGCACAUCACUGUUGUGAGUACAGUAUGUAAUAAUAUGUAAUAAUAUGUAUGUAGAAGUUUUUUACUGGAUGUUUAUAAGACUGGCAUCAAACAGAAGUAAAGGCUGUGAGGAUGUUGCUGUUGAUUCGAUGAAUGUCUCGGUUCAGGCUGAACAGUUUGUUUCUUGAGAUCGAGGAAGUCUGUGUUUUCCUCAAAGCAGUCUGAGCGAGCGGCCGUGGAUCCAAAACCCUGAUGGAGGGUUACAGGCUGUAAUUACACCGACACACAGGACAAAUGAGCUCACGGCCUCAACGCUGGGACGCCGGCUCAGGCCUGAAGCUAAGGACACGCAGUCGCCCACAAGAGGUCCCUUCACCAUAAACACAACAUUAGACUGCAGGGGAAGGAAUUCCAGAUACCCAGAAGCAGGAAGGCCAUCCAAACGCAGACGAACUCUACAGCAGAGACUCCCAGCGAGACGAGAAGUCGGAGGGUCGGGUCAUUGUUUGCUCUUGUCAGUCAAACGGCACAUUUCCGAGCAUGGCUUCACCUCCUGAUGAUGGGUGUGUUGGUUUUGGCACCGUGAACAGGAUCUGACAGCCCUGACUACCGCUCCCCCACCUGACCACGUUUAACUGGACAGAGUGUGACAAAACAAUGGUAACGUGCUAAUGACAUCAUUAACAAGCCAAAGACACAAAGGCAGGUGGGCCGAGCAGAACCAGCAGCUCAGAGCAGCUGCACUGUUCAUUUUCAUAUAUAUAUCACUCAUCAUUUUGUGUUGUUUGUUUUUCUUGAGAUGAAAUAAACAUUUCAAACCA
This is a long non-coding RNA of Betta splendens (Siamese fighting fish), 4551 nucleotides long. RefSeq lists it as uncharacterized. The transcript is spliced from 2 exons. The record is from RefSeq and is a predicted model, not a curated record. Lineage: Eukaryota; Metazoa; Chordata; Actinopteri; Anabantiformes; Osphronemidae.